Long non-coding RNA from Chrysoperla carnea, 149 nucleotides. RefSeq lists it as uncharacterized. The transcript is spliced from 3 exons. The record is from RefSeq and is a predicted model, not a curated record. Lineage: Eukaryota; Metazoa; Arthropoda; Insecta; Neuroptera; Chrysopidae.
ACCAAAUAAUACAAUAGUAACAACAACAACAAUAGGCGCUACAGCCCGACGUGGGCCUUGGCCUCCUCCACAAUGCGCCUCCAGACGUUGCGAUCCUGGGUCUUGGUUCCCCAUCCAGUGACUCGUAUUGUCCUCAAAUCAUCCAGCAC